GCUUUCGGAAUNCNGGGCGUUAAGCGGCACGNUAGGCGGUAUNAUUAAGUUUAGNUGUGAAANCCCUCGGGGCCUCAACCCUGGAGAANNGCAUUUAAAACUGGCUGAUCUGGAGUACGUGUAGAGGGAGGUGGAAUUCCCCGUGUAGCGGUGAAAUGCGUAGAUAUGUGAAGGAACACCGGUGGCGAAGGCGNCCNUCUGGACNGAUACUGACGCUGAGNUGCGAAAGCGUGGGGAGCAAACAGGAUUAGAUACCCUGGGUAGUCCA
This 268-nucleotide ribosomal RNA is filed under the name uncultured Frischella sp. RNAcentral's name for it is "partial 16S ribosomal RNA". It matches the Rfam family "Bacterial small subunit ribosomal RNA", at positions 541 to 797 of the family's 1533-position model. Lineage: Bacteria; Pseudomonadati; Pseudomonadota; Gammaproteobacteria; Orbales; Orbaceae. The record is from RNAcentral.